Papaver somniferum (opium poppy) is the source of this 1698-nucleotide long non-coding RNA. RefSeq lists it as uncharacterized. The transcript has 5 exons. NCBI's taxonomy places the organism in Eukaryota, Viridiplantae, Streptophyta, Magnoliopsida, Ranunculales, Papaveraceae. The record is from RefSeq and is a predicted model, not a curated record.
AUUUCUUUUUCACCUGCCUUCUGUUUUCUCCGCUGAAGGACUGAGAGGUUUGGUCUCGUCCCUCUUUUAUAUGUUAUCCUCUUUUCUUUGAAUCUUCCUUCUUCUUCUUCUUCUUCUUCUUCUUCUUCUUCUCUUUCUUUCUGUUUCUUUUCUUCUUCUCAUUCUGUUCGUUUUGCGGAUGAUUUGUGAAACGAAGUUUGUAUUUGAAUCUCUGAGAAUUGAUUGUUGGUGGUGCUGUCGAUGUUGAUUGAUUAUAAGAAGAAGAAAAAGAGAUGUCGAGGCUGCUGUGAAUUGAAUUUAGGAUUUUUGGAGUUAGGGUUUGUCUAGAAUUGAGAGGUGAUUUGGGUUGCUGCUUGAUGAAGAAUAUAAGGGUUGUAAUUGAAUUGGAUGUUUGAAGUUGAUUCAGUGGAGAUUCGUUGAUGAGAUAUUAUUAGGGUUUCAGUAGAGUUGCAGAAGAGAAUUCGAAGAUGAAAUUGAUACUCUAGAAGAUCAAUUGAAGAUGGGUUUUGUGUGUUGAACUUAAAGGAGAAGAUUUAAUAUCUAAUUUUCGAUUCAGAGAGAAGAAUAAGGGUUCAUGUGUUCUUCCCCAAAUUGAGAAGAAUUCAGUGGAGAUUGUGAUGGGUUGCUCGAGUAGAAUCAUUUAGGGGUAUGGACAAGAUCGCCGGUAGGGCUUUUAGUUAUAGUCGGAUGCACAGAACUGGUACUAAUUGUCAAAGACUUAAACUUGACAUUCUUCAAGUACCUCCAAGUACAGGCUUUUUGCUCAUAGGAUGGGUUCUGACUUCUGAGCAUCUAGGAAAGAUGCUAUCAAAGUUAAAAUUUCUUCUUAUUUUGGAUUAGAAGGAAUAUAGUUAUCACUUAUUGUUCUUUUUAUGUUGCUCGACUCUUAUUAAAAUUUUGUUUAGUCAUUUAUGACCUUUGGUUAUUUCGUACCAAAAUUGAUGCAUAAUGAUUGCUUUUGCAGCACUUAGAAACUGUAUUCAAGUUUCGUAUCCCAGGCUCAAAUAUGACUUAAACUCAAGCAGUUGAAGUACUAUGGACCAACACCGCUCAGACUCAGGUGGUUCGGAUUUGAAGCAAGUAGAGAAAGUAACACGUCGGUCUUCGGUUUGUGAGGUGGCUUCAUCGAAGAAAGCUGAAUUAAAAGCCAAGAUAGCUCGUCAUGCAGAGAAAAGACAGGUGCAUUUUGGUUAUUGAUUUAUCUCAAAGAAGUUAUCUUUGUUCACGAACUCUGCUUCACUUCCAAGUCUCCUGCCAAGCGUACUUAUAUUUCUCUCCUUCCAUAAAAGAUAAAACUCUGCAGAUAACAUGUCCUGGUAUAACAAGUAUCUGGACAGGUCCUGAUGAGGAAGGGAGAAGCAGAGUCGCAGGAUGAUAAAUGAAUGUCAUCAUGGAACUUGGACAAGAACCACUAGAUGCACAAAUGAUCCAUUUUUUGUUCUUAUUUUUGUUUUCAUGCCAUCAGGUGUGUUCUUAUCAUGUCCCAAACUUUCCACGGGCAUUUUUGGAUGUUGAUAAUUUUAGUUACCAGGUUUUUUAACUAUCUGGGUGUUGUUCUGUUGCCCAGAAUCAUGUUUUUUAAAUAGUUAAACAUCUUACUGUCGGAUGUGUAAGUUUCUAUGGUGUGACAAUGUAAAAAUUUGUUAUGAAAAGUACAAGUUUUCAGUGUGAAUGAUGCUGAGUUUUGGAAAGCUUUUU